UACAGAGGUCUCAAGCGUUGUUCGGAUUCAUUGGGCGUAAAGGGUGCGUAGGUGGCGCGCUAAGUCAGGUGUGAAAUUUCGGAGCUUAACUCCGAAACUGCAUUUGAUACUGGCGUGCUUGAGGACUGGAGAGGAGACUGGAAUUCAUGGUGUAGCAGUGAAAUGCGUAGAUAUCGUGAGGAAGACCAGUGGCGAAGGCGGGUCUCUGGACAGUUCCUGACGCUGAGGCGCGAAGGCCAGGGGAGCAAACGGG
RNAcentral lists this ribosomal RNA (253 nucleotides) under uncultured bacterium. RNAcentral describes it as "partial 16S ribosomal RNA". It matches the Rfam family "Bacterial small subunit ribosomal RNA", at positions 524 to 776 of the family's 1533-position model. The record is from RNAcentral.